AUUGUUUUGAUCCCACAAGAACAAGGAGUUUGGUUGAUGAAAUCAUGUUUCUGGUUUCCUACUAUGGUUAUCAUGGGUAUUUGAAAGCAAGAUGGAGCCUCACCUGGACACAGCCCUUUUCCCAUGUUCACCUUUCCUAUACUUAUUUAGGGUUUUGGCAUUAUGGGUCAGCUAGGUCUCAGGUAUAGAGUUACCAUACAUUAUGAGUCAGCUAGGACUCAGGUAUAGAGUUACCAUACAUUAUGGGUCAGCUAGGUCUCAGGUAUAGAGUAACCAUACAUUAUGAGUCAGCUUGGUCUCAGGUAUAGAGUAACCAUACAUUAUGAGUCAGCUUGGUCUCAGGUAUAGAGUAAACAUACAUUAUGGGUCAGCUAGGUCUCAGGUAUAGAGUAACCAUACAUUAUGGGUCAGCUAGGACUCAGGUAUGGAGUUACCAUACAUUAUGGGUCAGCUAGGACUCAGGUAUGGAGUUACCAUACAUUAUGGGUCAGCUAGGACUCAGGUAUAGAGUAACCAUACAUUAUGAGUCAGCUUGGUCUCAGGUAUAGAGUAACCAUACAUUAUGAGUCAGCUUGGUCUCAGGUAUAGAGUAAACAUACAUUAUGGGUCAGCUAGGUCUCAGGUAUAGAGUAACCAUACAUUAUGGGUCAGCUAGGACUCAGGUAUGGAGUUACCAUACAUUAUGGGUCAGCUAGGACUCAGGUAUGGAGUUACCAUACAUUAUGGGUCAGCUAGGACUCAGGUAUGGAGUUACCAUACAUUAUGGGUCAGCUAGGACUCAGGUAUGGAGUAACCAUACAUUAUGGGUCAGCUAGGACUCAGGUAUGGAGUUACCAUACAUUAUGGGUCAGCUAGGACUCAGGUAUGGAGUUACCAUACAUUAUGGGUCAGCUAGGACUCAGGUAUGGAGUUACCAUACAUUAUGGGUCAGCUAGGACUCAGGUAUGGAGGUAACAUACAUUAUGGGUCAGCUAUGACUCAGGUAUGGAGGUAACAUACAUUAUGGGUCAGC
This is a long non-coding RNA of Oncorhynchus keta (chum salmon), 1012 nucleotides long. RefSeq lists it as uncharacterized. The transcript has 3 exons. The record is from RefSeq and is a predicted model, not a curated record. NCBI's taxonomy places the organism in Eukaryota, Metazoa, Chordata, Actinopteri, Salmoniformes, Salmonidae.